This 468-nucleotide ribosomal RNA is filed under the name uncultured bacterium. RNAcentral describes it as "partial 16S ribosomal RNA". It matches the Rfam family "Bacterial small subunit ribosomal RNA", at positions 28 to 507 of the family's 1533-position model. The record is from RNAcentral.
GACGAACGCUGGCGGCGUGCUUAACACAUGCAAGUCGAACGGAAAGGCCCUGCUUUUGUGGGGUGCUCGAGUGGCGAACGGGUGAGUAACACGUGAGUAACCUGCCCUUGACUUUGGGAUAACUUCAGGAAACUGGGGCUAAUACCGGAUAGGAGCUCCUGCUGCAUGGUGGGGGUUGGAAAGUUUCGGCGGUUGGGGAUGGACUCGCGGCUUAUCAGCUUGUUGGUGGGGUAGUGGCUUACCAAGGCUUUGACGGGUAGCCGGCCUGAGAGGGUGACCGGCCACAUUGGGAAUGGGAUACGGGCCCAGCUCCUAAGGGGGGCAGGAGGGGGGAAUAUUGCACCAUGGGCGGAAGCCUGAUGCAGCAACGCCGCGGGCGGGAUGACGGCCUUCGGGUUGGAAACCGCUUUCGCCUGGGACGAAGGGUGGGUGACGGUAAUGGGUAAAGAAGCAACGGCUAAAUACGUG